RNAcentral lists this unclassified non-coding RNA (276 nucleotides) under Bombus terrestris (buff-tailed bumblebee). RNAcentral describes it as "misc RNA ENSBTSG00005036098.1". The record is from RNAcentral. Lineage: Eukaryota; Metazoa; Arthropoda; Insecta; Hymenoptera; Apidae.
CACGCGAGGAUCAUAUUUUAUAUGUAUGUACGGUAAAAGGGACGGAAAAAGGUGGAAAGCGAAACGAUUAUAAUUGAAAGAAAUACGACAGUGAGUGGACAGAGCGUUUCACCAAUUUCUUUAUAUGUCCUUGCAUACGUGUACGUGCAAUAUACGUGUUCGUGAAUGGGCGUGUAUUUUGCAACUGAACGAACGCCGGGAAAUAGAGUAAGGGAACUGUGUCUGUCCAUGGUCACGCUUCGUGGAUGCAGUCAUUCACGCGGCCAAUCGUCGCAA